This 63-nucleotide transfer RNA is filed under the name Kallima inachus (orange oakleaf). RNAcentral's name for it is "tRNA-Glu". Lineage: Eukaryota; Metazoa; Arthropoda; Insecta; Lepidoptera; Nymphalidae. The record is from RNAcentral.
AUUUAUAUGUUUAAAAAACAUUACAUUUUCAUUGUAAAAAUAAAGAAAUUUCUUUUAUAAAUU